CUAUUAUGUAUAUUGCAAAGAGGAGCAGUUUGACUUCCUAGAGAGUAGUGAAGACACUGUUUAUCAUCUAGAUGGAUUGAGCUAUGCGAUCAGAGGCAUUGAGAUGGUCAGUUGGAGGACACAUGAUGGUGUAGUGAGGAGAUUGGGGGAGGUCCGAUACAUAUCUGAUUUCAUGCAAAAUCUUAUCUCACUUAGUAGAUUAGAUUCGAGAGGCUAUAGGAUGGUAGCUGAUGAAAGAAUCCCGAAGGUGUUGCAUGGUAAUAGAAUUAUUUUGGAGGAAAAGAAGAAGAUAAGAGGAUAUUACUACCUGGCGGGGAGCUCAGUGCGAGGUGAAGCUUCAGGAGCUAGGAGGAGUGCAGAGCGAGGUGGAGCUCCAGGUGG
RNAcentral lists this long non-coding RNA (381 nucleotides) under Elaeis guineensis (African oil palm). Its description in RNAcentral is "long non-coding RNA (EGUI_LNC056598)". The record is from RNAcentral. Lineage: Eukaryota; Viridiplantae; Streptophyta; Magnoliopsida; Arecales; Arecaceae.